Non-coding RNA from Danio rerio (zebrafish), 742 nucleotides. The record is from RefSeq and is a predicted model, not a curated record. NCBI's taxonomy places the organism in Eukaryota, Metazoa, Chordata, Actinopteri, Cypriniformes, Danionidae.
UUUCCAAUUUGCUCGGUUUGACCGAUCGCGACCGGAAGCCUGACUACCCAUACACAGACAAACACCAAACGGAAAAGACAACACAACAGAUAUAUGUCCUUCUUGUACACAUCCAGCAGAUCAUCAAGACCAGCGAACCACUGACCUAAACCUGAAGCACAUUUCCCCUAAACAGAGAAUAUAAAUGAAAAAAUAAGCGGAAUGAACCAUCAAUUUAUCCAGCAUGUGUUCUACGCAGAUGAUUCCCUUCCAGCUGCAACCCAUCACUGGGAAACACCCAUACACUCUUAUUCACAUACAUACACUACAGACAAUUUAGCUUACCCAAUUAGACAAUAGCGCAUGUUUUUGGAGGGGAAACCGGAGCAUCCGGAGGAAAACCACGCCAACACGUUGAGAACAUUCAAACUCCACACAGAAAUGGCAACUAACCCAGCUGAGGCUCGAACCAGUGACCUUCAUGCUGUGAGGCGACAGCACUACCCUCUGCGCCACCUCGCUGUCCACCAGAUAUGUCCAUAUCCUAAAUUUUUGUAUAUUAGCUACAUAUUCAAUUACAAAUAAUAGACAGUGUUAGUUUGUUUUGUUGUAUUUAUUUGGUGUUCAGAGAACUGCAUCAGUGAUUCCACGCAUCAGGUUAAAUUUGUUUUCUCAGACUCCAUGGUCAGUCCAUUACUACUACUGUAUCUGUUCAACCUAGAUAAUGGAACCAACCAUGAUUAAAGAUAUGUCGAUAUUCCAA